RNAcentral lists this unclassified non-coding RNA (252 nucleotides) under uncultured fungus. RNAcentral describes it as "sequence contains 5.8S rRNA gene". The stretch from base 1 to 53 matches the Rfam family "5.8S ribosomal RNA", at positions 102 to 154 of the family's 154-position model. The record is from RNAcentral. Lineage: Eukaryota; Fungi.
GAACGCACAUUGCGCCCCUUGGUAUUCCAUGGGGCAUGCCUGUUCGAGCGUCAUUUACACCCUCAAGCUCUGCUUGGUGUUGGGCGUCUGUCCCCGCCUUCGCGCGCGGACUCGCCCCAAAGGUAUUGGCAGCGGUCUUGCCAGCUUCUCGCGCAGCACAUUGCGCUUCUCGAGGCUCCGGCGGGUCGGCGUCCAUCAAGCCCACAUCACAGUUUGACCUCGGAUCAGGUAGGGAUACCCGCUGAACUUAAG